RNA transcript from Drosophila subobscura, 1121 nucleotides. It is a transcript of the gene named heterochromatin protein 1, with no coding region annotated. Lineage: Eukaryota; Metazoa; Arthropoda; Insecta; Diptera; Drosophilidae. The transcript is spliced from 3 exons. The record is from RefSeq and is a predicted model, not a curated record.
UCUAAUUUAUUUUAUAUUUUGUGGUCCGGAAAAGUAAGAAGUGUGUGUGCGUAACUCCAAUAUCUGUACCAAAGGUGCGGAUGAACGGGACUCUCUUCAUGUGAUUAUUUUAUUCUGUUUAAUUGGAGUUUUCAGCAAAACGGUCUAUGCAAGAGGGAUCGACCAAUAAGAUGUCUUCGUUUUAGGAGCAAGUGAAGAUACAUUUUCGUGUGAAUUCAGACUCGUGCACGGCCUGAUAGAGUUAACGAUCAACUGGUGGACCAACCGCAACUUUUGCGCAUUCAAAUUACUACAAACAUGGAAGAUCCAAAUGAAACUAAGAGCGAAACAGAUAGCUCCGAAUAUAUUGUUGAGAAAAUAGUCGAUCAUAGAACUCACAAGGGAUGCGUUGAAUAUUUUGUCAAGUGGUUGAGUUACCCAGAAGCGGAUAAUACUUGGGAACUUCCCAGCGACCUGAACUGUGACCAUCUGAUCGCCGCUUAUCAUACUCAACAGAGUGUGAGGCGUCCAUCAAUUGUUGAGAAAAUAGUCAGCCAUAGAACUCUCAUGGGUAAUGUCGAAUAUCUUGUCAAGUGGUUGAAUGUCUCCGAAGAGGGUAACACUUGGGAACAACCCAGUAGCCUGGUCUGUGACCAUUUGAUCGCCGCCUAUAAUCUUCAACACGUCGUGAUCCAAGACCUGAACGAUGUGUACGAAAAAAAAGCAAAACGAUUGAAAGUUGACCCCACGCCAGUCAUUGACAAUCUUUUUAGUCGUGGCUUUGAGGCUGAACAAAUACUCAAAACUUUCAAAAACGGAGAAGAAAUAUCGUUUCUAAUAAAGUUUCGUAACCUGGAACUGCCGCAAAUGAUCAAGUCCUACGUGGCCUAUGUAGAAAUACCCGACAUGGUCUUUAAGCACUACGAAAAGACAUGCACAUUUUAUCACUUAAAUAGCAAUCAAUGAAGAGAAAGUAAAUGAAGAAGAUCAAUCGCUUGGCCACAACCCAAAUAAGCAGCGGCAAAGCUCUGAACAAGGCCUUAAUCGAAUAUUAUUUUUAUUUGAGUUCCUUUAAAGAUGUUUGUUAACAUUUGCACUUGUUUUUUAUUGCAUUAAAUUGUGCCACUUUGCGAAACAUAAUA